RNAcentral lists this ribosomal RNA (142 nucleotides) under Eimeria canadensis. RNAcentral describes it as "partial 28S rRNA". It matches the Rfam family "Eukaryotic large subunit ribosomal RNA", at positions 33 to 169 of the family's 3401-position model. The record is from RNAcentral. Lineage: Eukaryota; Apicomplexa; Conoidasida; Eucoccidiorida; Eimeriidae.
UUUAAGCAUAUUAUUAAGCGGAGGAAGAGAAAAUAACUAUGAUUCCCUUAGUAACGGCGAGUGAAGAGGGAGGUGCUCAAAGUGAUAAUCGUGAUACCUCUUAUGGUACCUCGAGUUGUAGCCUCUAGAGGCGUUACCAGUG